GGGCUGCACUUGAGGCAUAUGGAAGUUCCCAGGCUAGGGGUCAAAUUGGAGCUGUAGCUGCCGGUCCUCACCACAGCUACAGCAAUGCGGGGUCUGAGCCAUGCCUCCAACCUACACCGCCCCUCGUGGCAAUGCCACAUCCUUAACCCACUAAGCAAGGCCAGCGAUCGAACCCGCAUCCUCAUGGAUAUUCGUUGGGUUCAUUACUGCUGAGCCACAACGGGAACUCCUCUGUGCUACCUCUUGAUAAGAUGCAGGAUACACAUGUUAGAGAGCAAAAGCGGUUAGGUGCCACUAAAGAGCGCCUGCCUCCGAAAGGUGGGCUAACGCCAUUCUUCCAAUAGAGCAUCAUGGUAAACACAGGUAUCUAUUUGACUGUCUAGUAGUCAGUUGGCCACGCCUACUCUAAUCCAGGGUCUGGUUCUCACAAUCUUAAUCCUAAAUCCCAGCAAGUGAGACGCAGAGGAAGAGCAGCACAGAGUUACCACGGCACCUGCGAGAUGGAGGGUACCCAGGGAUGAGUAGGGAUAGAGACGUGAGGUUGGAGGCAAAGGAAGGGAACAGGCCCAAGGCUCAGGGUGUGAUUCCAGGAACUCAGUGAGGGCAGGGGUCAGGGAAGGGGGAGGUCAGCCACUGGUUUGUGGGAGCCUGGUUUGAAGACUAACGAGGACCGGGUGGGGGAGGGGGACAGUCCGGAACCUUCCCCCCAACUCUCCCUUCUCUGCUUUUCCCCAUUAGAGAAUUCCAGGAAUGGGAAUGCCUAGGCCCAGAAAGCUUCUGGAUAAACCAGCCCAACCAAAGUAGGGAAGCAAGGAAGUCUGGGGGUCAAAUAACCAGAAUGUCAAGGCAGGUGUUUUGAGAAUGGAGGGAGGGAAGUGUUUAAGAGAAAGAGAACUUGGAAAUUCCUAGUGUAAAGACUUCCUCCAGAGAACACAUUUUGAGAGUCAAAGCCAAUAGAGCUGUCACCUCUUAACUUCCUCUGGUUUAAUUUCCAAAAAUCAGCGCUUAAGCAAUCCCAGUUCCUCCAGGAAAAGAGGCAGGGGAAUACAAUGCAAGGCUUACUGCCUGUGAGCAUGGACAGUUCUUUUGCCUCACCAGGAAAAGGGAUAUAAGACCUAACUGAUAACAAGAGUUAAUGUUGGUUGAGCCCUGUGUGCCAUGGGCUCAGCAUAGCUCAUUUUAACCAGGCAAUCACGCUCGGCGUUCCCACUUUACAGAUGAAGAGACAGAUGCAGGCAAGGUGUAGGGUUCAUGCUCAAGGGGACAGAAUGAGUAAGUCAUGGCGCCUGCCUGGCAGCCCAGGUGCCUGACUCUAGAGCUUAUGCGUUUUAACCCCCAUGUGUAUGUCUUGCGAUGAGCCAUGGGGACAGUGAUGAGGAAGAGGAGGACGAUGACGAUGAUGAUGGUGACAGCUAAAAGUAUCCGACUGACCUAAGGUGCAAGAUGACACGAUUCUGAUUCUCACGGUGUGCGAAGCAUGGAAGUCUUGCCCGAUCAUGUUCACAGCCCACAUUUACUGCUUAUUAUGUGCCAGGCCCAGUGCUUAGCCCGUGGCAGAGGUUAUCUCCUUUAAUCCCCGCAACACCCUCAUGAGAUUGGGGCUUGUGAGUUUCACAGAGAACCAAACGCCUGACAAGGUUACGCAACACACCUAUGGCUGUUUAGAGGCACGGCCUGAGUUUCUGCCCAGCAUCCGUUCCUUGGCCUUUGUGGGUACCAGCUACCCUGCCUCCCCAUCAGCCACGAAGCCCACCACCACCCUCCCUGGACUGCUUCCUUCUCCCACCUCCCCUGACGACACCCCCUUGUGUCAGUCUCUGCCUUCUCCCCACCCCUUGGCCUUUCACAUCCGUACAGCUGACCUAGCCCUUUAUUCAUUAUCCCUACAUCCUCUAAUUGCUGUGGUUCACAGCCUGUGGUCGCGUAACCGUCACACACGCUGCCACCGGAUGUCACGGGGAUAGGCCACGCCUUGCUUUACGUGUAAGCCUCAGCUCCCUGGCCAGACCCUCUGCUCUUGAAGGCAGAAAUGAGGCUUAUUCUGAUGUCUGAGCCCUAUUGUGCCCAGAGCGGGACUGGGCUUGUUGUGUCCAUGCAGUAAAUUCUUGUCACUCAGAGGACUAGUUGAAAGGAGGGAGAAGGGAGGUGAGGAGAGGGUGAGUCAGAGAGCUUUGCUGUGUCACCUUCUGCAGUUGGGCCCAGGGAUGGUGCUCAAAGUCCUAUCAGGGACCCCAGAACCCUAAAAGCCCAGGCUUUGCCCCUCUCUCCCUCCACCCAUCACUCAUAACAUGAAGACAGGCAGCUUUCUUUUCUGUUCCUCGUGUCAACAUCAUCCUGCCCCAAAGCCUUUGGACCGGCUGUUCCUCUUGCCUCCCACCAUCUGGUCUCCCCUCAGAGGUCCCCUUCUGGGAGGAGCUUUCCUUGACUCCCCUGCCCCAUGCUUACACUUAAUCCCACUCCCUAUUGGACUUUUCUGAAUAGCACACGUCUCUGAGAUGACCCUGUGGAUUCACUUUCUGGCUGGCAGGUCUCCCCAGGGGGAAUCAGGCAGGAUCCUGCUAGUGCAGCCAUUUCUGCAGCUGGGUGUUCAUUAAGAUUUGGCUGAGGGCUCGAGUGCUCAGCCCUCCAAACCAACUUAAUACAAUGGUUAUUUUUUUCAGCCCUAGAUUUGUUUAAGGAACGAACGAAUGGAAGGUGUUUGAACCAAACCGAAUGGAAGGAAGGAGAACUUCAGAGGUUGCAUUUUGUCCCCGCUUACACAGCCUUCCCGGUGGGGAAGGAGAGGGUCUGCUUAGCCAUUGCCAGUACGGGCCACAGUCCGGGGGUGGAGCGUCCUCAGGACUUGCACAACCUGAGCUAUGGGAACUAUGCGUGUGAAACACCCCGGGGCGGGAAGAACCAGCCCGUCCUUUGUGCCCAGGCUGGGAGAGAGGUUCGGCUGAAAGUUUGGACAGUUCUUGGCAUGGCAUCUGGAGGGCCCUUUAGAAAGCAAUCCCGCCCAGCUGGCCCUUGGAGAGAGCCCAGUCGGGGGCCAGCAUCCUGCUGGACGGCGAUAAAGAGGUUACUGUGGGAAGCGUUCCGAUUGCUCGGGGAGCACCAGGAACAUGAAAGAUAUGUUACGUGUUCUUCAGUCCCAAGAGAAUCACCACCCAUGUUAGACUUGGCAAAAGGCUUUCCGCUCCUUCUCUGGGCUCCCUCCUUAGAAAAGACGUGCUGUCUGAAUACCGAAUGCCAACCGGCUGUGGUGAUGGGGAGCUGGAAAGAGGACAAAGGGGCCUGCAUUCCUGCCCCUGCCGGACAGGUGAUCCCACAGAACCCUACCUGUCUCCAAGGCAACACAUCCGGGCCCUUUUUUCCAGGAGAGCUUGUUGUGAAACAUUCAGGAAUGUUUGUGUUCCUUCAGAGAUUUGUAAUUAAGAAGAGGCAGAACGAGUUUUCUCUUGGCGCCCUCUCCUCCCCUCCCGCCCUCCCUCUCACCCUUCCAGCAUUUGGGUCAGUUGAUUUCACGAGAGAGAUGGGGUGGGUAUUCAGGACUUGGAGGCUGGAAAGCAGGGACUGCAGGGGGCUGGACGGGGGUGGGGGUGAAUCGCUUCGUCGGAGCACGGGGACUUCCCCGUCCAGGCUCCUGCCAUUCCCCGCAGGCGCCCCCAAUUUCUGGCCACGUCUGAAAGCAGAUGCCUCUUCCCAGCUCACAUUCUUGGCACUUGCCCAAGGGGAAACACUGCAGGCCAGAGAAGCACCCACAGUUUCCCAGGGGAGACUGGUUGAAAUGGCCAGUUCCUCUCUCUGGGAGGAGGAGAGUGUGCAUGUGUAUACACGUGUGUGUGUGUGUGUGUGUGUGUGUUGGAAUCGUUGUGCAGCUAAAAACACCUCUCUUCAUCCUGAUUCUCUGAAUGACACGUCUCCACACACUGAAUAAUUCAUCUCCCUCUUGGCAUUUGUUCCAGAGAGAAUCUUGCUGUCCAGAUUUCUUGUAAGUUGCCUAGUCUUCCGAUAGAAGCUCUUCUCUUUCCCAUGGCAGAGCUCAGGGACCCAGGAUAUCAGCCCCCCAUGUUUUUCCCUCAUGAUAGCUUUGAAGGGAAGCCUUAGCAUCAAAGCCAGAGCCUUCCUUUCACCUCUCCGCCCCUCCUUCUAACACUGGGUCCUCUUGACUCCCUCUCCUUUAUCCCUGUUGGGCAGUGUCUGGUUCGCUGCAGGUGGGAGUCAGCCUCUCAGCCCAGGUAGGGUAUCCAGUGUUGGGAUCAUCACUGACGCUCAUAGCUACCAUGCAUUUCAGGUCUGACUCCUCAACGUCUGAGGCUGGACCAGUCCGUGGAGUCCGUGGUUUUAUGGAAAAGGGAGGCAUUUUGGGUGUUUCAGACCUGCCCCUCCUCGCCCCGUCCUUGUUUUCACACACAGAGCUCAGUGAAUCACUUAUCUUAAUGACUCUGAAACAAUUAAUUGUCUUUUCCUGAAGCAGUUGUGGGUUAUCCAAGCGCCUGGAGUAGCUUUGCACAAGACCAAGAAAACUGAAGGCACAAAUGGGACGCAGCUCAGGGGCCUUUUGCCUCUUUCACAUUCCCCUCAGCAGCAGCAUCUGUAUCCCGGGCAUGGCUUCCGUUGUGCUCCAGAUUGUUCUGAGACUCCCUUGGUCAGGUCCUGUUUUAUUAGCAAGGCUCGGGUUCUGGAGUUAGGCAGCGGGGCUUCAGCUUAUACCUCGGGCGUUUGCCAACUACGUGAUACUGGGUGUGUCUUCUCAGUUGUAAAAAUUGAGGAAGAGCACCUGCUGCCAGAGAGGGAACAUGAUAUAUCGGGAACUUGUUUUCUAGAUGCAGAUCUAGCCAUUAUUAAAUAUUUUAAUUGCAACGGAUAUAGAAGUAGCUAGUUUUUAAAAGAGUAAAAAGAAAAAAUUACGUUAAAAUUCCUACACCAAGAUAGCAUGUUAUACUUUUUUAAAAUAUUGAAGUAUAGUCGAUUUGCAAUGUGGUGUUAAUUUUUGCUGUACAGCACAGUUAUACACACACAGAGACACACUCUUGUUUAAAAAUAUCCUUUUCCGGAGUUCCCGUCGUGGCUCAGUGGUUGAUGAAUCCGACUAGGAACCAUGAGGUUGCGGGUUGGAUUCCCUGGCCUUGCUCGGUGGGUUAAGGAUCCGGCGUUGCCAUGAGCUGUGGUGUAGGUUGCAGACGUGGCUCGGAUCCCGCAUUGCUAUGGCUCUGGCGUAGGCUGGUGGCUACAGCUCCGAU
Molecule: long non-coding RNA, 5225 nt
Filed under: Sus scrofa (pig)
Lineage: Eukaryota; Metazoa; Chordata; Mammalia; Artiodactyla; Suidae
Description: lncRNA (ENSSSCG00015039601.1)
Source: RNAcentral